Pan paniscus (pygmy chimpanzee) is the source of this 3017-nucleotide long non-coding RNA. Lineage: Eukaryota; Metazoa; Chordata; Mammalia; Primates; Hominidae. The record is from Ensembl.
UGGCCAAAGAGGGCAAAGGAUAUGAAGCCUAGAUCUGGGGGGAUACUGCAAAACAGAGACAGGACUUUGGACUUAUAGCUAUAGCAGCAGGCCCUGAUCUGUCCAGAUCUCUCCACUCUCCUUCUACCUUCUCAUGCAGGAGGCCUUGGGUCCAGAGACCCUGGAGCGGCUUCUAGAAAAGCAGCAGAGUUGGGAGCAGAGCAGAGUUGGACAGCUGUGUAGGGGGCCACAGCUUGCUGCCAAGAAAGCAGCCCUGGUAGCAGGGGUGGUGCGACCAGCUGCUGAGGAUCUUCCAGGUGAAACUACCCAAAUACUUAUAUGUCCAGCAGGAUGUAUAGGGAGUAUCAAACGGUCUGGGUUCUACAUGUGCUCUUCCCUGGGACUGGGUUUUCUAAUUUAUAAAGCAAAGAGUUUAGAGGGAUGAUCUUCAAGCCUCUUGUAGUUCUAGAAUUCUGUAGUUCUGGGAGUUUGUAAACUAUCAAGUUUUCUUUUAGCCCAGAACUUCCAUUUUCCUGCUCUCUCGUGUCUGCUCUAGACUCAGCUCUAGCUUGGCUAAGUGUGGAGCUCUCUGCUGGGGAGAUCCCUAGAAGCUUUGAAGGAGACAUUGUGAGGCUGGAGAACUGGGUUCAAAUUCAGUGCUACCAUUAAAUCCCUGAAUAACAUCCUCAGUCUUCCAUCUAUAAAAGUCUUGGCAUCUCCAAUCACUUCUUGUUCUAUUAUCUCCUAAGCCCUAUACAUAUUACUCUGUAAUACUCCUUUGAUCCCUAUUUCUCACAGUGCUCCAUCCUCCAAAGGUUGGAAGACUCAUUCUAUCUACAGAUAUCUCUCUGGGCAUAUUUUAUUACUACGCUGACCUCCUGGCCCUGCCUUCCCCCUUCAGAACCUGUGCCAAAUUGUGCAGAUGUACGAGGGACAUUCCCAGCAGCCUGGUCUGCAACCCAGAUUGCAGAGAUGGAGCUCUCAGACUUUGAGGACUGCCUGACAUUAUUUGCAGGAGACCCAGGACUUGGGCCUGAGGAACUGCGGGCAGCCAUGGGCAAAGCAAAACAGUUGUGGGGUCCCCCCCGGCGAUUUCGUCCUGAGCAGAUCCUGCAGCUCGGUAGGCUCUUAAUAGGUCUAGGAGAUCGGGAACUACAGGAGCUGAUCCUAGUGGACUGGGGAGUGCUGAGCACCCUGGGGCAGAUAGAUGGCUGGAGCUCCACUCAGCUCCGCAUUGUGGUCUCCAGUUUCCUACGGCAGAGUGGUCGGCAUGUGAGCCACCUGGACUUCGUUCAUCUGACAGCGCUGGGUUAUACUCUCUGUGGACUGCGGCCAGAGGAGCUCCAGCACAUCAGCAGUUGGGAGUUUAGCCAAGCGGCUCUCUUCCUCGGCACCCUGCAUCUCCAGUGCUCUGAGGAACAACUGGAGGUUCUGGCCCACCUACUUGUACUGCCUGUGGGUUUGGCCCAAUCAGUAACUGGGGCCUGAGAUCUUCACUGAAAUUGGCACCAUAGCAGCUGGGAUCCCAGACCUGGCUCUUUCAGCACUGCUGCGGGGACAGAUCCAGGGUGUUACUCCUCUUGCCAUUUCUGUCAUCCCUCCUCCUAAAUUUGCUGUAGGUAUUAAUGGACUGGGGUGACCACAGGAGAGCCAGGGCCCAAUGGGGACUACAUGCAUGCACUGAUUCCUACCCCUGCCCUCAGGUGGUGUUUAGUCCCAUCCAACUAUCUAGUCUCACCAGUGCUCAGGCUAUGGCUGUCACUCCUGAGCAAAUGGCCUUUCUGAGUCCUGAGCAGCGACGAGCAGUUGGAUGGGCCCAACAUGAGGGGAAGGAGAGCCCAGAACAGCAAGGUGAGUUCCCAGCUGCACAGCUUGAUCCUCCAUCUCCUGACCCAGAAUCAAACCCCUAAUUUGGUGCUGUCUGGCUCUUAGAGUGCACCCAGGGAGAUCCCUGGAGUGAAGGAGUCUACAGGCAGAGCGCUAAUUUCCAAGUAUCAAUGCUCCUGGAGAGCUGAGUUGUGAUAUUACUCCCAUUCCCUGUCUAUUAUAGGUCGAAGUACAGCCUGGGGCCUCCAGGACUGGUCACGACCUUCCUGGUCCCUGGUAUUGACUAUCAGCUUCCUUGGCCACCUGCUAUGAGCCUGUCUCUACAGUAGAAGGAGAUUGUGGGGAGAGAAAUCUUAAGUCAUAAUGAAUAAAGUGCAAACAGAAGUGCAUCCUGAUUAUUUUCAGAAGCUGAUGAGGAAUAUGGGUAAAAUGUUAAUGCUUUCCACCCACCUGAGAAUCAGUGUUCCUGGGUUGCCAUAUCUGGAGUCUCUUUCCAUCAUAAAUAAUCCCACUGCCUCUUUUCAUUUCCUGAAGGCUGCUCCCUCCUCACCCCACCAUUAGAAGUAACACAGACAGCUGCAGCAUAGCAAGGAGUCUUUACUAGGAUGGAGGCAGGGGAUGCGGGGGCAGAUCCAGAGCAAGUAGAAUGGGCCAUCAUUAGAAUGAGCAGAACUCCUGGGAAUCUUGAGUCAUCAGCUGGCGAUGGGGAGUUAAUGCUUGGUGUGGAUGACAGGUGUGGGGAUGCGGAUAUCCUGGCCUCUCUCCAGACGCCGUUCACAAUCAAUCAAAUAGUUUACUCCAUUGAUGACCAGUUGCACCAGCUCCACCUAAGGGACACUAAUCUUUGAUCUGCUUCCUACAGUCUGAGUUUUUCUUUAGCACUGACUGACUUGCCUGCUCAUUUCCAAUUGCCUCCCCACUCAACCUGAAUUUCAUUUCAGAUUAUGUUACAUCCCGGAGGCUCACUCACUGCCAUAUUUCGGCCCUCGCAGACCUAUACCUCUCCUCAUCCUAAUCCCUUAGGAUCUCACCUCUGAUUUGCCUAGUCGGUCCAAAUUAGAAAUAUCAAAGACACCGCCUGUGGCAGCAGUGUCCACUCCUCCAGUACCACGCUUUUGGAGUCUUAGGUUCUCCAGGAUCUUUGGGAAGCGGCUAUCCUAGAGAGGAGAUAGGGAUUGGGAGCAGGGUCAAUAAAGGCAGAGACUAGUCCU